CGCCUGGGGAGUACGGCCGCAAGGUUAAAACUCAAAUGAAUUGACGGGGGCCCGCACAAGCGGUGGAGCAUGUGGUUUAAUUCGAUGCAACGCGAAGAACCUUACCUGGUCUUGACAUCCACAGAACUUUCCAGAGAUGGAUUGGUGCCUUCGGGAACUGUGAGACAGGUGCUGCAUGGCUGUCGUCAGCUCGUGUUGUGAAAUGUUGGGUUAAGUCCCGCAACGAGCGCAACCCUUAUCCUUUGUUGCCAGCGGUCCGGCCGGGAACUCAAAGGAGACUGCCAGUGAUAAACUGGAGGAAGGUGGGGAUGACGUCAAGUCAUCAUGGCCCUUACGACCAGGGCUACACACGUGCUACAAUGGCGCAUACAAAGAGAAGCGACCUCGCGAGAGCAAGCGGACCUCAUAAAGUGCGUCGUAGUCCGGAUUGGAGUCUGCAACUCGACUCCAUGAAGUCGGAAUCGCUAGUAAUCGUGGAUCAGAAUGCCACGGUGAAUACGUUCCCGGGCCUUGUACACACCGCCCGUCACACCAUGGGAGUGGGUUGCAAAAGAAGUAGGUAGCUUAACCUUCGGGAGGGCGCUUACCACUUUGUGAUUCAUGACUGGGGUGAAGUCGUAACAAGGUAACCGUAGGGGAACCUGCGGUUGGAUCACCUCCUUACCUUAAAGAAGC
This 675-nucleotide ribosomal RNA is filed under the name Escherichia coli. RNAcentral's name for it is "bacterial SSU rRNA". It matches the Rfam family "Bacterial small subunit ribosomal RNA", at positions 870 to 1533 of the family's 1533-position model. The record is from RNAcentral. Lineage: Bacteria; Pseudomonadati; Pseudomonadota; Gammaproteobacteria; Enterobacterales; Enterobacteriaceae.